This 1070-nucleotide ribosomal RNA is filed under the name Leuconostoc mesenteroides. RNAcentral's name for it is "bacterial SSU rRNA". It matches the Rfam family "Bacterial small subunit ribosomal RNA", at positions 63 to 1107 of the family's 1533-position model. The record is from RNAcentral. Lineage: Bacteria; Bacillati; Bacillota; Bacilli; Lactobacillales; Lactobacillaceae.
CGCACAGCGAAAGGUGCUUGCACCUUUCAAGUGAGUGGCGAACGGGUGAGUAACACGUGGACAACCUGCCUCAAGGCUGGGGAUAACAUUUGGAAACAGAUGCUAAUACCGAAUAAAACUUAGUGUCGCAUGACACAAAGUUAAAAGGCGCUUCGGCGUCACCUAGAGAUGGAUCCGCGGUGCAUUAGUUAGUUGGUGGGGUAAAGGCCUACCAAGACAAUGAUGCAUAGCCGAGUUGAGAGACUGAUCGGCCACAUUGGGACUGAGACACGGCCCAAACUCCUACGGGAGGCUGCAGUAGGGAAUCUUCCACAAUGGGCGAAAGCCUGAUGGAGCAACGCCGCGUGUGUGAUGAAGGCUUUCGGGUCGUAAAGCACUGUUGUAUGGGAAGAACAGCUAGAAUAGGAAAUGAUUUUAGUUUGACGGUACCAUACCAGAAAGGGACGGCUAAAUACGUGCCAGCAGCCGCGGUAAUACGUAUGUCCCGAGCGUUAUCCGGAUUUAUUGGGCGUAAAGCGAGCGCAGACGGUUUAUUAAGUCUGAUGUGAAAGCCCGGAGCUCAACUCCGGAAUGGCAUUGGAAACUGGUUAACUUGAGUGCAGUAGAGGUAAGUGGAACUCCAUGUGUAGCGGUGGAAUGCGUAGAUAUAUGGAAGAACACCAGUGGCGAAGGCGGCUUACUGGACUGCAACUGACGUUGAGGCUCGAAAGUGUGGGUAGCAAACAGGAUUAGAUACCCUGGUAGUCCACACCGUAAACGAUGAACACUAGGUGUUAGGAGGUUUCCGCCUCUUAGUGCCGAAGCUAACGCAUUAAGUGUUCCGCCUGGGGAGUACGACCGCAAGGUUGAAACUCAAAGGAAUUGACGGGGACCCGCACAAGCGGUGGAGCAUGUGGUUUAAUUCGAAGCAACGCGAAGAACCUUACCAGGUCUUGACAUCCUUUGAAGCUUUUAGAGAUAGAAGUGUUCUCUUUCGGAGACAAAGUGACAGGUGGGUGCAUGGUUCGUCGUCCGCCUCGUGGUCGUGGAGAUGUUUGGGUUUAAGUCCCCGCAACGAAGCGCACCCUUUA